This is a long non-coding RNA of Rhopalosiphum padi (bird cherry-oat aphid), 756 nucleotides long. RefSeq lists it as uncharacterized. Lineage: Eukaryota; Metazoa; Arthropoda; Insecta; Hemiptera; Aphididae. The transcript is spliced from 3 exons. The record is from RefSeq and is a predicted model, not a curated record.
UUACACCGCCGAACGAUGUCGAACUGUACGGUUCGUAUUUUUUUAAUAUAAUAAAAUAUAUUUUAAUCGCAUGUCCGCGUGGUGUAUUUUGAUACUAAUCUUAACCCAGUCAGUCAGCAUAAAACCUGCGGACGACUGAAAUUGGCAUUCCGCCCCGGAACACUCACCGAGAAUAUUGUAUUUAGUCCUAGUUUCUACUUGCCAUUUAAAUUUUAUGUGAAACGGUAAAUGUAAAAUUUUUUUGACUUUUCGUCUAGAUAGUGUAAACGGAGACUAACAUGCUCGUGUUGGAUAUGACCGGAUAUCGCGUAUCAGUCUGCAGAUUUCGGAAAAUCUUGUCGGUGGAUUGGAAAUAAAUGGUCUUAGUUCUGUACGUCGUGUGUUAUUAUAUUAUGAAUUACUGACUAUACUGUACACUGUGUACAUAAUAUUAUGAUGUUACUUAAAUGUAUACGACAAUUCCCGAUGAAAGAAAUAACAACGAAACAGAUGUGGCUCUCGCACGAAAGUUUACUCGCCGCUAUGUGCAUUGGGUCGUCGACGCCGUUUCGUCCAGAUCACUUCUCUACGUCAGCUACAAGUUUAAUCAACCGUGUCCGAGGGUUGAAUACGGUUACGAAAUUCUAUGCCAAAUAGUGUUAUUUCGCUGUGCACCGAUGAUUUGUGAACAACGACCGAGGUUCACGUGGUUAAUGUGUAGACCGCUUGUGAAUUUUUAUAAAAACACAUAUCGAAUAAACGCUUAUUGAAUUUUUA